This 224-nucleotide unclassified non-coding RNA is filed under the name plant metagenome. RNAcentral's name for it is "partial contains small subunit ribosomal RNA, internal transcribed spacer 1, and 5.8S ribosomal RNA". The record is from RNAcentral.
GCUCCGUUGGUGAACCAGCGGAGGGAUCAUUACAGGACUCGCAAGACUCCUUCACCCUGUGAACCUCACUACAAGCACGUUGCUUCGGCGGGUGUCCCGGCGGGGGUUUUCCCUCGCCGGGGCGCACAGCCCGCCGGCAGCCUACUAUACUCUGUCUCUUUGCGUUGGCAUCUCGAGAAAAAACAAACAGGUUAAAACUUUCAACAACGGAUCUCUUGGUUCUG